GCAAUCGCCGGCGACGGGCUCCGGCACUUCGCUCUGUGGGAAUAUCAGUGUGGUGACUGCUUACCCGGGGGAAGUGUUCUCAGGGCACGAUUAGUGAGAACGUGGCCAUGGACGAGAAUUCCAAGUAGUGGCACUUCUGUAGACGUCGCGGCCCUUUUGGGGUUACUACUACCCAGGAAACUCACAUGCGACACGGGCGCCAGCUGAAGUCCAUCUAGACCCCCGCAGACCCAAGGUCACAAGUUGAGAACUCCCUGCCGUAGACAUUCUUCUGCACCUAGUGGUGGAGCAGGUGGAGCUGCACCUUGCACCGCCUAUUUGGAGACGGGUUCUGUACAGAUGAGUGUGCCCUGCUGCGAUCCUGCAAUCUUUGGUGACUAACAAGGACUUACUGUGAAAACAGAUUUAUCUUUUCUUCUCUACCUUUAAGGUUUCUUGCUGUGGAGAAUAGUUAAGGGACGAGGAAUUCUUAUUGUCCCCAUUUUACAGGCAAAGAAACUAAUACUGACCCCAACCUUACCGACCACUUGGAGGUCCCUAAAAACACAUGACCUUUGCGUUUCUCCGCUGUUAGUGGAAUCCUUUCUGUCUGCUCAUGAACUCAUCUUCAAACGCAUUCCAGGCCUUCAAAACUCUUCUGUGAGCGCAAGUCCCUGGUAUGGGCCACUGUUAACUGCCGCUUAUCACCUGGAUUUUCUUAUCUGUGCUUUGCCCCCUGAGGCUGUGAGCUCCUGAAUCUUCACCUUUGUCUGUAGGAGGAAAAGUUGUUUGAGAUGAUAUUUGAAUCCUUCAAUUUAGGCCAAAUUCAGAACAUAGCAGAAGGUUCUGGCUAACAUGCAGAAGCGUAUGACUGGACUCCCACUACUGUUGGUCUGCAAAGUUGAAGGCUACUGUAGGCAAAUGUGUCACCUUUAAUGUAUCUCCUUAGGAGCAGUCUUUCACCUUAUUCAUGCUCCUCGGCACCCACACCAAAAGAUUGAUGAAGCAAAUGGUAGCUAGUCUCUGCUUUACCCCGUCACCCCUGGCCUGAGGACCUUUGAACCAUUUUAAAUGCUCUACCUGCCAGCCUGGCCAUCUAUGCACUGCUUGCUCCAUCUACCCUUCUGACUCAGCUGAAAUACCACCUUCUCAAAGAAGUCUAAGUGACCACCUCAUCUAAAUUGGGUUUCCUACCCACCCCUCCUCUAUCACUUUGCCCAUGGUUGUAUUUCCAUUACAGAACUUCCAUCCAUCAUUCAUUUCCUUCGUUUUGUACUUGUUUAUCAUAUAUCAUCUGUAGAAAAGAACAUUCUGAGAAGACAGACUUUGAGUGUCUUUCUACAGAAUCCUCCAUUCCUAAAACUGCCUGACCUGUAGAUGGUCCUCAACAAAUAUCUAAAACACUUUAAAUAACAAAUAGAUGUCAUGUUUUAACCCUACACUCCACCUUCGGCCAUACAGAAUUUUAGUCCCUGCGUCCAUGCUCUUACCUCCGUGUUUUCGUACACUCUGUACCCUUCUAACUCUCAGAUAUUCUUCAAGACUUCAUUCUGUUACUUGUUACUCUGCAACUCUAAACCCUACUCUUAGUUGAGUUGGCUGCUCUUCCGUGCUCCCAAUCACCUGUAACCUCUCUGUCAUAAUCAUCUCGCUCCAUUCAUUUGACUGUCUCACCCAAAAGACAUGUCCCUUGAUGGCAGAGACUGUUGCUCAUAAAGUGGACAGUGCCUUGUUCAAUUACUGUUUUGGGGUGGCAAGGUCUGUCUGUGCCUGUUUGUGUUCUCUUUCCUUCUCUCUUUUCUCCAUGUUGUACUCAUCUUUCCAUUUCUGUACCCCUUUUAAUCCUUUCCUUAGGUUGUUAUUCAUGCCUAGUGAUUCUCAUGGACAUUCUGAAAUCCAGGUUCUUAGGGCUGAAGACUAUGCCGAUCUUUGAAAUAAUAUGAGUAUCACA
This 1930-nucleotide long non-coding RNA is filed under the name Macaca mulatta (Rhesus monkey). Its description in RNAcentral is "lncRNA (ENSMMUG00000065326.1)". Lineage: Eukaryota; Metazoa; Chordata; Mammalia; Primates; Cercopithecidae. The record is from RNAcentral.